CCUACGGGAGGCAGCAGUGGGGGAUAUUGGACAAUGGGGGGAACCCUGAUCCAGCGACGCCGCGUGAGUGAAGAAGUAUUUCGGUAUGUAAAGCUCUGUCAUCCGGGAAGAAAGCAAUGACGGUCCCUGACCACGAAGCCCCGGCUAACUACGUGCCAGCAGCCGCGGUAAUACGUAGGGGGCAAGAGUUAUCCGGAAUUACUGGGAGUAAAGGGAGCGUAGACGGCUGUGCAAGUCUGGAGUGAAAGGCGUGGGCCCAGCCCCCGGACUGCUCUGGAAACUGUAUGGCUGGAGGGCAGGAGAGGUAAGCAGAAUUCCGAGGGUAGCGGUGAAAUGCGUAGAUAUUAGGAGGAACACCAGUGGCGAAGGCGGCUUACUGGACUGUAACUGACGUUGAGGCUCGAAAGCGUGGGGAGCAAACAGGAUUAGAUACCCUUGUAGUC
This 443-nucleotide ribosomal RNA is filed under the name uncultured bacterium. RNAcentral's name for it is "partial 16S ribosomal RNA". It matches the Rfam family "Bacterial small subunit ribosomal RNA", at positions 338 to 795 of the family's 1533-position model. The record is from RNAcentral.